Molecule: long non-coding RNA, 1019 nt
Organism: Procambarus clarkii (red swamp crayfish)
Lineage: Eukaryota; Metazoa; Arthropoda; Malacostraca; Decapoda; Cambaridae
Source: RefSeq, a predicted model, not a curated record
CUUCACAGUACACGAGUACUUCACAGUACACGAGUACUUCACAGUACACGAGCACUUCACAGUACACGAGUACUUCACAGUACACGAGCACUUCACAGUACACGAGCACUUCACAGUACACGAGUACUUCACAGUACACGAGCACUUCACAAUACACAAGUACUUCACAAUACACAAGUACCUGGUGAUACCAUGUGCUGGUGAUAGAGGCCCCUGCACCUGGCAGGCAGGAGCCAUGUGACCAGUACGUCCACACUUAAAACAGGUUUUCAAUUGUCCACUGUAAAUAAAUUUAAUAUAAUGACCUGCUACCGACACUGAUGAAGGAAUAUUACGGUGAAGUUCCAUUUUUACUGUUCUUGUUCCAUUUAAACGCCCUUUCCCUGGUCCAUAGGUAAAUUUAUUGAAACGAACAUUGUCCACUUUCCCAUAUUGUUGACUUGAGAAUGGUCCAGGACGGACCGAAACGUCGUCGUCCCUUCACCUUCUAGUGUGUAGGAGCAACGACAAACACGUCCACCCACCAGACGCCAGUAGCAGAGAGAACCAUAACACGACUGCUCACCAUCACGUCCACGACGAGACUCCUUAUCAUUGAAGGGCACCUGGGAGGGUCUGGCCAGGUAUAUAGCUGAUGAGAUAAUGAUGGGAUCAUCACUCGCCAGAAGACCUCAUCAGCUCACUCACCUGAAGUACUCAUCAACACAUCCUCACUCACCUGAAGUACUCAUCAGACCCUUGAGUCUCCAAUCACGGGCGCCAGCAGCCUCGCAGGAAACAAGACGCUAUCUCAUAUUAAAAAGUUUUCUAGGGAUAACUAGAACAGCUACAUUGUUCUCUCUGCUAGGUCGCUAGUGACCUUGCAGGAAGUAAGGGGCUGUAUCAUGUUAUGAAGUUUCUCUAGUGGCACAUAGAACAGUUGAAUUGUUCUUGCGGUCAGUUCAUCAUAUAUUUAAUUCCUGUUGGUUGUUCAACAUAGUUGCUUGAUAAUCUCGAGGUCUUUGUCUCUCGAAUUCAUG